This 493-nucleotide ribosomal RNA is filed under the name uncultured bacterium. Its description in RNAcentral is "partial 16S ribosomal RNA". It matches the Rfam family "Bacterial small subunit ribosomal RNA", at positions 29 to 523 of the family's 1533-position model. The record is from RNAcentral.
AUUGAACGCUGGCGGCAUGCUUUACACAUGCAAGUCGAACGGUAACAGGUUAAGCUGACGAGUGGCGAACGGGUGAGUAAUGCAUCGGAACGUGCCCGGUCGUGGGGGAUAAGGCAGCGAAAGCUGCGCUAAUACCGCAGCCGAUCGGAGGAAGAAAGCGGGGGAACGAAAGGGCACGUGCGAUCGAAGCGGCCGAUGUCAGAUUAGGUAGUAGGUGGGGUAAAGGCACACCAAGCCAACGAUCUGUAGCUGGUCUGAGAGGACGACCAGUCACACUGGGACUGAGACACGGCCCAGACUCCUACGGGAGGCAGCAGUGGGGAAUUUUGGACAAUGGGCGAAAGCCUGAUCCAGCAAUGCCGCGUGCAGGAAGAAGGCCUUCGGGUUGUAAACUGCUUUUGUACGGAGCGAAAAGGUCUCCUCUAAUACAGGGGGCUCAUGACGGUACCGUAAGAAUAAGCACCGGCUAACUACGUGCCAGCCGCCGCCGUAA